This 606-nucleotide ribosomal RNA is filed under the name uncultured Nakamurella sp. RNAcentral describes it as "bacterial SSU rRNA". It matches the Rfam family "Bacterial small subunit ribosomal RNA", at positions 917 to 1519 of the family's 1533-position model. Lineage: Bacteria; Bacillati; Actinomycetota; Actinomycetes; Nakamurellales; Nakamurellaceae. The record is from RNAcentral.
GGGCCCGCACAAGCGGCGGAGCAUGCGGAUUAAUUCGAUGCAACGCGAAGAACCUUACCAAGGCUUGACAUGCACGGGAAAGUUCCAGAGAUGGUUCCCCCGCAAGGUCCGUGCACAGGUGGUGCAUGGUUGUCGUCAGCUCGUGUCGUGAGAUGUUGGGUUAAGUCCCGCAACGAGCGCAACCCUUGUCUUAUGUUGCCAGCACGUGAUGGUGGGGACUCAUAAGAGACUGCCGGGGUCAACUCGGAGGAAGGUGGGGAUGACGUCAAAUCAUCAUGCCCCUUAUGUCUUGGGCUUCACGCAUGCUACAAUGGCCGGUACAAAGGGCUGCGAAACCGUGAGGUGGAGCGAAUCCCAAAAAGCCGGUCUCAGUUCGGAUUGGGGUCUGCAACUCGACCCCAUGAAGUCGGAGUCGCUAGUAAUCGCAGAUCAGCAACGCUGCGGUGAAUACGUUCCCGGGCCUUGUACACACCGCCCGUCACGUCACGAAAGUCGGUAACACCCGAAGCCAGUGGCUCAACCCCCUUGUGGGGAGGGAGCUGUCGAAGGUGGGAUCGGCGAUUGGGACGAAGUCGUAACAAGGUAGCCGUACCGGAAGGUGCGGCU